GUCUCGGUAAGUCUAAAGGCUCAAGACGCUCGCACGGAAUGCAAGAGAUCCGGGUUCGACUCCCGGCCGAGGCA
This 74-nucleotide transfer RNA is filed under the name Acromyrmex echinatior (Panamanian leafcutter ant). It matches the Rfam family "tRNA". From Rfam's summary of the family: Transfer RNA (tRNA) molecules are approximately 80 nucleotides in length. Lineage: Eukaryota; Metazoa; Arthropoda; Insecta; Hymenoptera; Formicidae. The record is from Rfam by way of RNAcentral.